ACUGCCAUUGUUAGGUGAAUCCUGCACAAUCACAGCAUCUUAUGGCCACAUGGCUGCCAUCUGCAAUCUCCUGCUGGCUUCCCCACUGACUUUGCUUAAAGUUUCCUUUGUCCUAGGAUUCUUUUUGUUGUUGUUGUUGUUUCCCAGCCUAGACCACCACUCUGGAAUUUUCUUCUCCAGGGACUAAGCAGGUGCAACCUUACUCAGCUUUUUUUCAGAUCAGCCAACAUCUGCUACGUUCUACCACCUCCGGAAGAGAACUAUUGUCUCCCUUAAGUCAAGUUCCACUCCUGAUGCCUUCAUAUAGUAAUCAUUCACUGGAACAACUUCAACAUUCGUAUGAAUCAGUUCGGUGUUGCCUGGUUACCACACAUAACCAAGGACUGUUAUGAGGGAGAGCACAUGGAGCACAUGAAGAACGGAAAUCUCGUUUGGCUGUAAAAUGUUUAUUCAGAGUGGAAAAAAUAAUGGCAAGACCAAUCGAAAAUAUAC
This is a long non-coding RNA of Pantherophis guttatus, 492 nucleotides long. RefSeq lists it as uncharacterized. The record is from RefSeq and is a predicted model, not a curated record. NCBI's taxonomy places the organism in Eukaryota, Metazoa, Chordata, Lepidosauria, Squamata, Colubridae.